This is a non-coding RNA of Microcebus murinus (gray mouse lemur), 4754 nucleotides long. The record is from RefSeq and is a predicted model, not a curated record. Lineage: Eukaryota; Metazoa; Chordata; Mammalia; Primates; Cheirogaleidae.
GGAGAGCUGCUUCCUCAGCCCUGAAGGCCAGAGCCGCAGCUCCUCUCUUUAGGGCUCCGCCUCAAAAGAGGGAAAGAGAAAGCGGAGGUAGAUGACAGCUCAGUCCAAGACAGAACUGGCUGUCCUGUGAGGUGGUGAGUUCUCCAUCCCUGGGGUUUUGUGGCAGAUCUCAAUGAGUCACAGCUGGGCUUAGAAAGGGCACGUGAACAUCUACCAGGUAUGGCACGAGAAGGCUUUUAAAAUCCCAAGAAUCCAGGAUGAUAUGAGAUUUGGAACAAAGCUCAGAUCCAGGCAAUCCAAACUCCCAGUUGCUAGAAGGGGCCUCCAUCUACUUGUUUUGUAAAUUCCCUCUGCUUAUUUUAUAAGCUCAGAGAUGUUAGUUGGCUUGCCCAAGAACACACAGCAAGUUGGGGACAGAUGGAAACCAGAGUCCAAGUCUCCCAGUGCUGUCCUGGUGCCUUCCCAUUCCCUGUGCUCCAAAAUACCUCAGAGCCCCACCAGCCUGAACCCCAGAGGGCUCAAAUAUUUUGACCAUGCACCAAUGUCACUAAAACCCUUUGAACACACUCCACUAUAUUUCUUUAUUUAGAUUUUAUGCAUGUGCUAGUGUCCUAGUUUAUCACGAACAUCAUAAAACAUACUCCCCAAAAAAGGUCCAGAAAUUAGCAAAGGAUAAAAUCGAAAAAUUUAGAAAUUCUAACAUUGUCAUCCUGAGGUCACCUUGGACAUUACCCCACUUUGCAGACCCCUGCUAACCCACGACUCACCAGCCCCAGCUCCCUGAUUCUGGGCCUAUGCAUUUCUCACUGCCCUGCCCCAUGCACAAUCCUGCCAUUAGCAUCCCCUCCAGCCACCCCUUCCAAACAGCUGGGGACCCCAGGAAGGGGAAGACAGGGGCACUGGCACAGCCCAACUCCUUGCCAGGUGAUCCUCCCCACAACCUGGCAAAAGGGCUAUUUUUAAUACCUUCACCCCAUUUCCCAGAUGAAGAAAGUGAGGCUCAGAGAGGUCCUGUGCCUUGCCCAUGGCCUCCCAGCUGGUCAUCUGUAGGUCCAGGAUUCAAAACCUAGCCAAGUCCCUCCACCACCUGCCCAGCAUCUCCCGGCCUCCUGGACCUGUCUGAGGCCUGUCCCCUCUCCCACACCCACGUGGGUGCCUCCCUCAGAGGGGUCAGAGGCACCCCAUUUCCUCUCCCCUCCCCCAGCAGGAGCACCGAGCAGCAACAGGCACCAGAGUGUUGCUACUUUUGCAAAAACCACCUGCACUUAAAAACCAGGCUCACCCUGCCCCAUCUCUCCUUCUCAACAACCCUUUGGCAGGGAGAGGAGACAUUGCUUUGUCCCCAUUUGCCAGACGACAGCCCUGAGGCUCAUAGAAGGCAGGGACCAGCCCAAGGUCAUGGAGUGAGGCAACCUCAGAGCCUGACUGGACCCUGUUGGGGCCCCAAGCUUCCACAGAAGGUACCAGAAGAUGCCGGGCCCUGACCCAGGAGAAAGGGAAUAGGCUCAGCUCCCAGAACCCAAGUGGCUCCCUAGGACACGGGAUGGAGAGGAACCCAUAUUUAUCGGGUACCUGCUGUGUGCUCAGACCUGUACACAAGCUUGCAUGGCAAUGUCCCCAAACCCUGCAACAUCCCCCCAUUUUACAGUUGAGGAGACAGAGGCUGAAAGAGGAGAGCUCACAUGUCCUGUGUCAUGUGUCUCAGCUGGGCAGUGAGCCCUGCUGCCUCUGCUCCCAGGGCCCGGGCUCCCCUCAGGGCUAGGCUGGCUGCCCAGGGACUCGGCUCCUGACCUCUCCAGCCAUCCACCCCCCGCCCCCAGCAGCCACACCCCAGACGCCCAGCACUCAGGAGACAACAGCUGGGGCACCGGAGGCCUCACUGCUGCGUGGCCCUGGCCAGGUCCUGGCUUCUCCCUGGCCUCAGUUUCCCCCUCUGGUCAAUGAGGAGAGUUACCCCCAUUUGCACUCGGGGCCAUGGGGAGGGCUGAACGCUGGAGGGUCAGGGGAGCGGAACCGCUACACACUAUAGGAUUAGGAUGUCACACCCAGGCUUCCCAGGGUCUCCUGGCCCAGCCGCCCCAGGGCCUGCCCCUACCCCCAGAAGGCCUCACUGCCCCACCCAAGUCCUAACUGAGAGCCGCUGGAAAUUCCCGGGAAUCACCUGGCUGACCUACAGCGUCCGCUGGGAGAGGCCCGGCAACUCCGAGAGUCUAGAUUUCCAGGCCCCCAGCCCUGACCUUCCCCUCGGGCCCCUGGUUUCCGCCUGGACACAGCGCUGUCCUCUCCCUGCGCUCUGAGAGCCCGGCCGGCCACGACAGGCACAGGGCUUGUCUCCUGCCACGAUGCCCGGACAGGCAGACCCGCUCGCUCACCUGUCCCUCCGUGCAGCGUCUUCCCCCCACCCAGCCCCGUUCUUAGUGCUGCACUGCUGAGGCCGUGAAGUUAGGGCUGGGGGAGCCGUGGUCUGAUUCGGGGCCCCACCGAGCUCUGUGCCCCUGAGCAAGCCACUAGCCUCUCUGGGCCUCGGCUCCUCGUCUGAGGAAGGGGCGACCGCUGGACCUGCCUCCCUUUCCUUUCCUGGUGUCUCUGAGGAGCAACCCCCAGCUUGAGCUAAGAGAAGGGGCCGGGGUCGUAGGACGGGGAGGUGGGGGAAGGUGGGGCAGUGGGGGCAAUGUUGAUACGGCCGGCGAUCACCGCGGCGAGGGUGCCAAGGCGGACUGUCAUGGAGGAGGCGCUGCUCAGGAGGGACUGCAACAGGGACCACGCUGAGUGGGCGUGGCUGUCGUGACGUUGCUGGAGUUGGCCGGGUGGUGACAGUGAGGCCCACGGGGUGGUGACGACAGCGGACACGGCAGGGGUGCUGGCGAGGGAGGCGGCGCCAGCGGGCACGCCGGGAGGCGGGGGUUGACUGCCAGGGUCCUGCAGUGGAGAUGCCGCUGCUGACGGUGAUGACAGAUGGGGGAGAUGACGGUGGGGGCGUCCUGAAAGGAUGGUGACACCAGAUCCCCCGAUUCUGGGGGUUUGAGGCCAGAUCCCUCUGCAGGGGAGUGGCCCCACUCUGUCCCCCUCCUGGAGGCUCAGACCCCAUCCCAGAAGCAGGCAGGGAGAGACCCACGCUCCACGAGUUUCGGGGUGAAAGUCACAGGAAGGACGCAGCCGGCAGUGAGCACCCCACUCUCCGCCACACGGUGCAUGGACACCUCCCUGUCCGUCCCAUAAGUCGAGAGAAGAACCCACCACCCGGCAGCGUGGUUGUGAGAACUAAACGAGGGAACGUACGUCCACCGCCGGAGCUGGCGGCUGAGAAAGACUGAGCCGCAGAGGCGCUUGCGUGGACCCCAGACGAGGGGCCCAGGGCCGCGGCCGCUCUGUCUGUAAUGGCCCCCAGGUGGAAACAGCCCAGUCGCCCUCCCACAGGAAAACGGGCGAAUACACGGGGCGGGGUCGUACGACGAUGAUGAGCUCUACAGCAAUGGAAAAACUGAGCUCACUGCCCACAGCCACACGCGCACAGCUCACAAGCCUGCUGUUGGGAGAGAUGCCGCACGCCACAGAACACAUGCUACAGAAUUCGCCUCUGUGUGGUUCUAGAGCUACGCGUACCCAAGGACCCACACGCGUGGGGGAAGUCCGUGGGGGAGGGAGCGACAGGGAGGGUCCAGGGCCUCUGGGUGCUGGUCCUGCCUGAUUCCUGGGUCUGGUGGAGGCUGCACGGCUGUGUUCACUUGGCACGAGUCCAUCGAGAUGUUUGCUCGUGACACCCACACGCGUCUAUAGGUCCGUCAUUCACCAAUCAAUAAAAGGUCCACAAAAACAAGGUGAAAUAGAGAUGCUGGCACCUACUGGAUGCCAGGCGGGAUCGCAAAGAUGAAUCAGGUCCAGCCAAGCCCUGGAUGGACGUCCAGGACGGGGGACAGGACACACAGGGACCCAGCACGCAGGGCUCCGGGAAGCUCCAGGAGCUCAGGGUCCAACGGUGGCUCAAGGCAGGCUUCUCAGAGGAGUGGGUCUCAACGCUUUCAGCCGCAGGGCGGCGGGAAGGGUGCCACAGGCGGAGCAAACGGCAUGAGCAAAGGCCAGCGCGGGCGAGACACACUCGGGAAACUGCAGGAUGCUCCUCUCCGGGAGCCUCGGGGUGGGGCCACCCGCGUGCCCAGCGCGCAGUAGGCUCCAGUCAAGGCAGCAGUUGGCCGGGAGAACAGGGGUGGGGACUUGGGGGCGGAGGAGCUGGGAGAGCACUCCAGGGAAGGGACAGCUCCUGCCCUGGCCCGGGAAGCACAGGGGGUUCAGAUCGCUUGGUGAGACGUCGCCGCAGCACAGGAAGUGUGAGGACUGGGGCACCAGCAGCUGGCUCCAGCCCGGGGCCUCCUCAGAGCUCCCCCCACCUCCUACCCCCACCCCUCCUCACCCACUCCCCAGCAAGGCCCAGCCGCUGCCCUUCCAGGCCUGCCCCCAGGAGAGAAGACAGGGAAGCAGGGCUCUGCCUGAAGGAACAGGGCGCUGAGGGUGACAUUCCUGCCCAGUGACUCCAGACAGCAGAGACGUCCCGGCCGGAGAGUGUCCCAUCAACUGUGCCUUCAUGGGCCGCCGUCUGGGGGCUCAGAGCUGGCCUCCCACCUCCACCAGGGCCCCGACACGCUCCACUUCCUGAAUAUCCGGGAAGCACCCUGCACGCCCCAGCCAUUCCCCAAGCCAUCACUUCCCUGCUUAUCUUCAGAGCAAAAACCCACAACAAUAAAUUGUAUUACUAAUUA